AGCGAACGCUGGCGGCAGGCCUAACACAUGCAAGUCGAGCGGUCGUAGCAAUACGGCAGCGGCAGACGGGAGAGUAACACGUGGGAACGUACCCUUCAGUUCGGAACAACCAAGGGAAACUUUGGCUAAUACCGGAUACGUCCGUAAGGAGAAAGAUUUAUCGCUGAAGGAUCGGCCCGCGUCUGAUUAGCUAGUUGGUGAGGUAACGGCUCACCAAGGCGACGAUCAGUAGCNGGUCUGAGAGGAUGACCAGCCUCAUUGGGACUGAGACACGGCCCAAACUCCUACGGGAGGCAGCAGUGGGGAAUAUUGGACAAUGGGCGCAAGCCUGAUCCAGCCAUGCCGCGUGAUGAUGAAGGCCUUAGGGUUGUAAAGUCCUUUUAACGGGAAG
This 391-nucleotide ribosomal RNA is filed under the name uncultured bacterium. Its description in RNAcentral is "bacterial SSU rRNA". It matches the Rfam family "Bacterial small subunit ribosomal RNA", at positions 29 to 446 of the family's 1533-position model. The record is from RNAcentral.